Molecule: long non-coding RNA, 2014 nt
Filed under: Mus spretus (western wild mouse)
Lineage: Eukaryota; Metazoa; Chordata; Mammalia; Rodentia; Muridae
Description: predicted gene 7628 (ENSMSPG00010047725.1)
Source: RNAcentral
AGCCAGAAGCCCAGAACUGUGGCGGUGCCGCCAGAGUUUGCCUUCGCGCGCGCGAGUGUGGUCCCAACUCUGAGGACCGAAGCCACCCACCGGAGACUCCACUCCGGCUGCUUGUGCCCAGCGGGAUCGAGGCCUCGGGCCGUUCCACCUGGGUGCGCGCGGCUCUAGCCUGCAACCCCGCCUUCCCUGCCCAAGUCUCGCAACUCACCGCCCGACCCUCCUGCGGGAUGCGCGCGGCGAGGCGUCCGCCCGCAGCUCCGGGCUAGCUCAGAUCUGCGCGCGGCGGCCUUCCCUCCCCUCGGAGGUGGGUCUGGCGGAGCCGCAGCUGUUACCCGGAGACCGAGGGGCGGAAAAAACUGCGCCCGCCGCCCGCCCCUCCCGCCGCGGCGCUGCCUCCGCUGGGAACAAAGGAGACAAAGCCGCGUCGGCCGGCCCGGGCUCCGCUCCUUCCACCCCCCCACCCCCCGCCCGUCGGGCCGCCCUCCCCCCGCGCGCCGCCCGGACCAGGCCGGAAGCAGCCGGGAGAACGGGGUACGCGGCCCCAGCCAUCCGGGACCCCGCAUUCCGGUCCCGCGGGAUCCGAGUUUGUGAAGGGCCUGGGGGGGUGAUCAACCCCUCUCAUUAAAUGGGGGCUGCAGCGCCCGGGCGGUAGCCAUGGCAACGCAGACGUGUAGGGUGAGGAGCCGAGCCGGGAGCGUGGGCGGUCGGCCCCGCCCAGCCGGGCCUCACCUGCGCGCCGCUUAGGACCAAGAGGCUGCGGCCAUGGUUGCGAGCCUUAUUACCUGGGCGUUGAGAUACAGCACAGGAGCCUUUCCCCGUCCUGCCAGAGUUCGAGGGACCUGUGCCCCACACCUGCUCUGCCUGUUCCAUAACCACCAUCUUGACUAUCCCCAACGCACCUCGCCCAGCGCCCGGAGCGCCCUCAUUCCCUUCUAGAUCCCGGCCCUUGGAGCCAUCCUCUCCCCCCAACUUUCUUCACCUGGUCUCCUAGACGCCAGCUUCUCCUCUUCUCACCUGGCCCUGCCCACCUUUCCUUCUUUCAAUACUCCACAACACCCAACCUCUCCUUCCGGCCCCCACCCCUGGCUGUUUGAAGAGAGCCCGGGCUUUGGACCUGAGUUUGCGCCAUCACUAAGCCAUGUAACCUGACACCCCUCCCCCCCCCCCCCACACACACACCCGGACCUAUUUGCUCCCUGACUAAUAGGGGGUAAUACCACCAAAGCUGAACUGUGUAAGCAGGGCAUACUGGCUAUGAGGUGCAGAAAUAGGGUCUUAUUUCCUUCCCUCCUCCACGGCCUGUACCUGGAGCCAUGCAGAACUCAGAAGUCUUGAGCAAGUCUGGACUCCCUCCUUGGAAAACACCUGGGUCUUUCUGGGAAGGAAACCCUGGGCAGAGGUUCUCUCCUGAGGGCGUUUUAUGCAGGGCGGUUCACACCCGGGCUUACCAAUGGCAAUCUGUGGAGCCAGGACCUGACCCAUCCUGAGGGCUUUUGAAGGACUUUGGCUCAAGGCCAUUGGCAUAGUGUCCAGAAAGGGAAAAACUGCAUACACGUCACCUGGAAGCCUCUAAGGUUAGAGGGCUCUAAAUCGGGGGAAGCCGUCUUCCGUAUCUGCCACUUCACUAAGGGCUGAUGCCAGGCUGCUCUACCAUCACACCCUCAGACUCCCGUGGGGUGGGGUGGGGGUGGGGUGCUGGCUUGAUUUAUGUCAACUUGACAGAAGUUUGAGUUAUCUGAAAGAAUGAACUUCAGUGGGGAAAUCUCUCCAUAAGAUCCCCCUGUAGGGCAUCUUCUUAAUUAGUGAUUGACAGGGGCGGUCCCAGUCCAUUGAGGGUGGGGCCCCCCUGGGCUGGUAGCCCUGGGUUCUGUAAGAAAGCAUACUGAGCAGUAAGCGGCACCCCUCCACGAGGUUCUGGCCCUGCUUGAGUUCCUGUCCUGUCCUGUCCUGUUCUGUUCCUGUCAGUGAUUAACAAUGAUGUGGAAGUGUAAGCCAAAUAAACCCUUUCCUCCCC